AGGACCACCCCGUGGGCAGGCUCCUAGGUCACGGGAAGGUGGGUGGGCUGCUCAGGGCCGAGGGUGGGGGGUGGGCGGAGGCGUGCAGCCAGAGAGCUCCGGACGUGCCCAGCUUUCCGCGGCUCCACGUUCUCUCCCCCGUCAAUCCUGCUGGGUUUAAGGAAAGCUGGCUGUCUGGAUGUGGGGGAGGGCGUCCCGGUUGCCCCCUGAGACACCACACCCACUCGCCAGCACCUGGAAGACUUCCACGGGGCCUGCCAGAUCCAGUGUCGGGCCUGCUCACCCGGAUCCCAGGCAAGAAGUCUGCAGCCACGGAACCCGGGCGUGAAGGGAGACGAGGUGGCCCACCUACCCUCUCCACCGGGAGUUCGGCCCGGA
Molecule: long non-coding RNA, 378 nt
Filed under: Equus caballus (horse)
Lineage: Eukaryota; Metazoa; Chordata; Mammalia; Perissodactyla; Equidae
Description: lncRNA (ENSECAG00000047139.1)
Source: RNAcentral